AGCACCCGCGGUAAUUCCAGCUCCAAAGGUAUAUUAAAGUUGUUGCAGUUAAAAAGCUCGUAGUUGAUUCGGGGUUAGUAGGUCGGUCACCUCUGGUAUGUACUGGUCCACUGAUUCCUCCUUCCUGAUGAGCCGUAAUGCCAUUAAUUUGGUGUUGCGGGGAAUUUGGACUGUUACUUUGAAAAAAUUAGAGUGUUUAAAGCAAGCUAACGCUUGAAUACAUUAGCAUGGAAUAAUGAAAUAGGACGUUCGAUCCUAUUUUGUUGGUUUCUAGGAUUGACGUAAUGAUUAAUAGGGAUAGUUGGGGGCAUUAGUAUUCAAUUGUCAGAGGUGAAAUUCUUGGAUUUAUUGAAGACUAACUACUGCGAAAGCAUUUGCCAAGGAUGUUUUCAUUAAUCAAGAACGAAAGUUAGGGGAUCGAAGACGAUCAGAUACCGUCGUAGUCUUAACCAUAAACUAUGCCGACUAGGGAUCGGAUGAUGUUAAUUUUUUAAUGACUCA
This 501-nucleotide ribosomal RNA is filed under the name uncultured Glomus. Its description in RNAcentral is "SSU rRNA". It matches the Rfam family "Eukaryotic small subunit ribosomal RNA", at positions 569 to 1078 of the family's 1831-position model. The record is from RNAcentral. Lineage: Eukaryota; Fungi; Glomeromycota; Glomeromycetes; Glomerales; Glomeraceae.